UACGUAGGUGGCAAGCGUUGUCCGGAAUUAUUGGGCGUAAAGCGCGCGCAGAUGGCUAUGUAAGUCUGAUGUUAAAGCCCGGGGCUCAACCCCGGUUCGCAUUGGAAACUGUGUAGCUUGAGUGCAGGAGAGGAAAGUGGUAUUCCACGUGUAGCGGUGAAAUGCGUAGAGAUGUGGAGGAACACCAGUGGCGAAGGCGACUUUCUGGCCUGUAACUGACACUGAGGCGCGAAAGCGUGGGGAGCAAACAGG
This 252-nucleotide ribosomal RNA is filed under the name uncultured bacterium. RNAcentral describes it as "partial 16S ribosomal RNA". It matches the Rfam family "Bacterial small subunit ribosomal RNA", at positions 524 to 776 of the family's 1533-position model. The record is from RNAcentral.